Molecule: long non-coding RNA, 612 nt
Organism: Hevea brasiliensis (rubber tree)
Lineage: Eukaryota; Viridiplantae; Streptophyta; Magnoliopsida; Malpighiales; Euphorbiaceae
Exons: 2
Source: RefSeq, a predicted model, not a curated record
GGGCCCAAACAAAAUUACCUAACCUUGACAACAGAAAUUUUCAAAAAUUCUACUUCAACAAUCAAUCUUGGUUAUUGUAAUUGAAAUUCUGUCUCUCUAAACUUUAGAGAGAGGAACUUCUCUUUUUUUUUUUUAAUUUUGAUUUUUUCUGGGUCUGAGGCUUUGUCCCUUUUCUGCCAAUUUGCAGCGUCCUCAGCCCCUCGAAAGCACGGAGGCUUCCUCUUUCUUCGCCCAACAGGGAGUCUUCACUCCCUUUUUGGGGUUGAUUUGUAAAUACGAGUUUUGAUUUUUUGCAGGUCUAAAGCUUCAUUGGUCUGGCAUGGUGAACGCUAUUCUGGUGCCUCGUCCAUGAGGAAUGGCGUGCGGCGGCAUUGCAGUAGCAAUCAACGCAAGCUUGCCUCUGCUACCUAUAGUUCAACUAUGGGCUUGGGCUGUAUAUUUGGUUUAGUUAGCUGUAGAUUGCUAGCUUUUCAGGCUGUGUUUGCUGAGCCUCUCUAGUUUUGAUCUACUGGGCUGGCCUAUGAGCCAACCUGCCUUAUAUUUCUUUGGGCCUGGCCUUCUUAAUGAAACAGCCUUUAUCUUCGAAAAUAAAAAUCUUGGCAAUUAUCACGA